Small nuclear RNA from Nycticebus coucang (slow loris), 106 nucleotides. The record is from RefSeq and is a predicted model, not a curated record. NCBI's taxonomy places the organism in Eukaryota, Metazoa, Chordata, Mammalia, Primates, Lorisidae.
GUGCUUGUUUUAGCAGCACACACAAUAACAUGGGAUGAUACAGAGAAGAUUAGCAUCGCCCCUGAGCAAGGAUGACACUCCAAUUUGUGAGGCGUUCAAUAUUUUU